UGCGUCGUGAAGAAUUAGGAUAGACGUGGCUAGGAGAAGUGUGGAAAGGCAGGGAAGAUGGCGGAAGCGGAGGUUCUGUUUAGAACUGGUGAAUCAUCAAGUGUAGAUGAGAGUGAGAAGGAAUCGAUUACAAGUCUUGGUUGAACGAUGACAUGGAUAAUAUACAGUUGGCCGGAGUUUUUUCCGUGCAUCGGCAAGUCAGAACUCCUACCUAUGUCUCUAGGUCACCAGGCUCUCGU
Molecule: long non-coding RNA, 239 nt
Organism: Oncorhynchus gorbuscha (pink salmon)
Lineage: Eukaryota; Metazoa; Chordata; Actinopteri; Salmoniformes; Salmonidae
Exons: 3
Source: RefSeq, a predicted model, not a curated record